Molecule: long non-coding RNA, 302 nt
Filed under: Salvia miltiorrhiza (redroot sage)
Lineage: Eukaryota; Viridiplantae; Streptophyta; Magnoliopsida; Lamiales; Lamiaceae
Description: long non-coding RNA (SMIL_LNC003435)
Source: RNAcentral
AUUUGGAUAGAUUUGAAUUGUUUGAAAAAGUCCUAAUUUGUGGGAUUUAUUCAUGGAAAAUAAAUCAUAGAUUUUCUUUUCGACUAUUUAAUAUAUGUAUCUUCUCAUAAAAAUAAAAAUUAAAAAAGCCCAAAUCCCUUUCGGUGUCUCUUUUUCCUGCAAAAAGCUUGAAUCCCUUUGGGUGAUUUACAAUCUCCCCUCGUCCCUUUGGGUGCCAAAACCCAAAUUCACUAUAGUUUUUCUCUUUAUCACCACUAUUUUGGAAACGUUUAUGCUGCACAGUGUGCACAUCCAUAUUGCCG